GGUCGACGAGGAAGUAAUCGAUACAAGCCUAUCGAAAAAUGCUUGGCGAUAAAUCGGAUGAAACUGCCCAAAUAAUCAAAUAUCCAUAUUCUGAAUUUCUCAAGCGCAAGCGCAGCUUUGGAAUUGUGACAGCGUUUGCUCGAAUGUCGGUUAUAUGGGGUGUUCUCGCUGCGUGGGGGUAAACAACUAUUUAUUUUACAUACUACGAAGACUGUUCUAUUUAUGUUUGAUUCGUUGGUGAAUGAAAUAUAUUUUUGGAAUAAAUAUUUGCCCACGAGGACAAUUAAACAGCCCGAUUCCUUAGUAUAUUUGGCUGUUCGUCAAUGGGCUACUGUGCCAUAGAGCCGCUCCCUCUCCCCCUCUACUUCCUUACAGCACUGAAAUCUUGGUUAUAAUCACAAGACUGAUCUGAUCUGUAGCGUAGCCCAUGGUCUGGGUUAGAUGGGAAGAUGAUAUUGGUUCCUGGCGAAGCCAACGAAUGUGAACGAGAAAUAAAGACUGUGGGUAAAGUCAAGUGCUGGCAUACCGUUUGGGAAUGCUAGAGCAGAGAGGGCUGUGAAGAACACAUCAGCCAACUGCACAUGGACCAGCCCCUCUCUAGGAUGACAACCUGACAGCAGCAGCCUCAACAUGAAGAGGACAUAAAUGCCACGCCACCUGGCAACGGCCCAGUUAAAGACUAGCCAAUUCUAUGAGUUCUACAGCAGUGAAUUCAAGCAUAACAUCGAGACUAAUCAUUUUGCUUCUACUAUGCAGCAUACUGAAGGGAUUUCUAUUUUGUCUGUCACUUUUUGCCUCUGACACAUCUGUAUUUCACAAAGUUAAGUAUUUUAAUCAUUUCCUUUUGUAAAAAACUCCAUUAAUACAAUUUGCUUGAAUUGUUGUCUAGCGAUUCGAGACAGCAGGUUUCCUAGGAACCCCAUAUUUGAUGAGUGGAAAGGAGACAACAAAAUGUAACCUCCAGUUUGAAAGACUAAGUGAGGUGAUGCAAAGGUCAGCACACUUGACUCACUUUUGGGAGGUCAAUGGUUCAAAUCUGCAUCUGGCCAUCCAAAAUCAGGUUUUCCUUGAUUACUCUAAAUUGCUUUGGGCAAAUAGCAGAAUGGUUCCUUGGAAAGGGCACUGCUGAUUUCCUUUCCUGUCCUUGAAACGGCCGGAGUGUGUGCUCCAUCUCCAACAACCUUAUGUUGAUGGGACUAAUUUUCUUUCCUUUGUGUUUGAGAGUAAUAUGGAGAUUGCUGUUGUGAGAGUUUAAAAGCUUCGAAACAUGUUAUUGUGACACUAUUUACCACAGGGCCUGCAAUAAGAGGACCAUUGGUGAAAUGGAGGCAGGUCCUACUAAAAGUGCUAUCAAAGAUCUUAAAUGUGGUUCAUGGGCUGUGGCAGAAAUUUCCAAUAAAAGGUUGUGACGUUCUUCACCUGUCAUGAUGAAUACUUUGGUACAUAUCGAACUGUGGCAAAUAGGAAAAAUACAAGAAUCUCCAUCUGCGUAAUGGAUGAAGAUCCUAAUCUUUAGUUCGAUAGUGUAAAGCUGGGGUGAAAGUUCACAGGUUAACUUCUUAUGUGUUUAUUUCAUGACCAAAUGUCACUGUUGCAUUACAAGCCAGCAUGAGUAACUAGUUGUCAACCUAAACUUACAAAUAAAAAUCAUCUUGCAGACAGCAAUGGCAACCCAGAUCUGGUUUAUGUGAAAGCUCAGCAACUUUACCAACAGUUAUGACACGUAACAAUGAUUAAUGGCUGAUGUCAUCAAUAGGGUUAUAUCAUUGAGUACAGUGUGCUGAAGGCUUAGAAGAGGUGGCACAUAAGCAAAGGGUGGCCACAUGUGUAUGUUGUGUAACAGUAAGCAGCAUUUUCUGCAGGAACCCUAAUUAAUACUUAUACAGGACUGUCUAUAGUGGAAGACUAUCCUUUUUACAGAUGAAUCCUGGUUUUAGCUUGGGAAAAAAAAGUGUUUCAGAUUGAGGAGAAGGCAGAAUGCGUUAUCAGCCUUCAAACGUCUGUAAAAGAUAUAACUUGAGAUGUGACAGUGUCCAUGUCUGGUGUGCUGUAUUCGUAGGCAAACAUGUUCCAAGUGGUAAAGUAACAGUUAUACAGAGAUGAUGUCCCUGAAUUUUAUCCCUGUCCUUAUGCUGGUGCAAAUAUGAUUACUUACAUUAUUACAACAGUUGAUCUUGCAGGACACAUUUUGUGAAUGAAUAUCUUCAGCAGAAAAAGGUUCAAUGCAUGUAAUGGCUGGUUCACUCUCUCAGCCUGAAUCCCAGAGAGCAUUUCUGGGAUACCCCUAGAAAACAUGUUUCUACUCAAUAUCCACAUUGUCAGACCAUUGAUAUCCUGGGAACACCUCUGCGAGAAAAAUGGCAUUCACUUCCUAAGGAGCUCCCUUAUAUACCCUUAAAGACAUCCCACACCACUGGAUGUGGUGCACUGCUGCUUGUGAUAUCUGUACCCUGUUUAUGUUAAUUUUCAACACCAAAAUAACACAUUUAUGUGCUGUAUAUGUACUGAGUUACAACAUAACUCAUCAUAUAGCAUUGGCCAACAAGGCCUUUAUCACACACACACACACACACACACACACACACACACACACACACACACACACACACACGAGACCACAGUCUCUGGCAGCUGAUGCCAGACUGCCAGUCUGGCUUCAGCUACCAGAGACUGUGAUCUUAUGUGUGUGAGUUGCAUUUGCAUAAGAGAGAGAGAGAGUAUCUAUUCUGUAUUUUCCAUUUUACAACAUAACUCUUUAUAGGAUAAUUGUUUUCAUAUUUUGUUUAGCCUAUAUGUGCAUUCUGUAUUUUGGGUACGUUUUAUCGCAUGUUCCACAGGAUUUGUCAAUUAUAUUUAUAUUUGUAAUUUUUCCUUGAUUUAUAAAACCCAGUGUUAAUAUCAUUGUUGGGGCCCCAAUGAAACAGAUAGAAGGCUGCUUAAAAAGCUAAUUAUUGGAAAACAUUAAAUGUGACAACAUUAAGUACCCUCGAACAUCUGCAGUUUUGAACACCUGCAUAAAGCUUUCUCUCUGUUAGAAGAAAGGCAAAGUUAAAGUAUAAAUGUAAGACUGACUACAGUUGACACUUUAGACUACAAAACAUAAUAUUGGUGACUUAUCAUGCGUCUGUAAAUCAACUAUACUUUUAGAAUAUGUUUGCCACUAGCCAUUAGAAAUGCAACACCAGGAAGGAUAGCAUAUCAUGAAAUUUUACUUAUUCUGUGUAUAAGUACAGUAGAAAGAAUAUAUGAUUAAAUUUGUUGGUAAUUUAAGAGUAUACAGGUGCAAAAUUCAGUAGAUAGGCCAGCCACAUCUGGAAGCAACAGUGGCUCUGACCUGUCUUUGAUGACAGGUAUGGGUAUGUAAUUCCAUGCUGCUUCAAAUCAAUGAUGGAAUGCAUCAACUGUAGUGGGUGGCAGUCAUGGCAUGCCAGUUUCUUGGCAAUCCAUACUCAGUUGUCUUCAAUGAGUGACAGAUUUGGAGUGUGUUGGCUAAAGCAACAGUCAGCCAUCCUUUGUAUUGACGUAGGCGAGGACAUCGUGAGCAACAUUUGUUCAUGUGUUACCUUGUUGACAGAAAAGAUCUCAGAGACCUCAAAAAUACAUUGCAUCCACCAUUAUUAAUGUCAUAACUGCAAUGGCUGCUGUUAAAACUAUUGGCUGUGCAAACAGAUAUGAUCAUGUGAUUCUUGAAGUUUUCCUGGCAUACUUGCCACUGUCUAGCCAAAGUAUUGUGGCAAGAAGUCAACAUGAUCUGGCUUCAAUCCCUGAACUUAAUAGAAUAGAGAUGGUUAUGUUCUGUAGCCAGUGGCACUUCGUACUGUCAUGCACCCAGUGCUGGGCCAGGUCAUUGUGACAGUGAGGAAUGCAGCCUGGCAACAUUCACUCUCCUCAGAGCCUCCCUACACAGAUAUGACCACUGUGAACUUAUCUGAAAGGACAAUAUGGUGUCACUUCUGUUUCCAGUAUAAUUGCCAUGCUGACAGUCUAUGGGCCUCCAGAUAGCUGUACAGAAAUCUGUCUCUUUGCAAAAAAGUCCAUUUUUGGAUAUAAGACAGAUGAUGUGGCUGAAUGGUCAGCAUGGCAAGUGAACAAUAUGCCUCUCCUCUCAGGUGUUAGUCACUUGGGGAUGUUGAGAUCGUGCAUGGUAUUGAUUGUGACCCUCCUGAACCCAUUGAUACAAUCUCGUGACAGUUGUUUAUCCUAAUCAAAGCAAGCAGGAAUAUUGUGGGAUGAUAAAUCACAGUCAUGACAGGCUUAUGAUCCUGCCAUUAUUAAAUUCUGGUGUGCUGGUAGAUGUUUCUCCUUCUUACAUAAAAUGACACUGCCUUCUAACAAACCAAUAGCAUUCAAAUGCGAUUUCUGAAUGAGUAACCCAUGGCGUAAUCUUUCCUUACAUACAGAAUGUAGAGGUUAUUACUCUUACAACAUUGUGCAAUUGUGGUAAAAUGCUUAUCAUUUGCAUAUCCAAGCAUAUUGUACAUGUCAUGCCAUUUCAAUAUUUGUUGCACAUCAUCUUCAAGGUAUUGCAAUUUUAAUGGCCAGAAGUUAAAUACUGAUAUUAAAGUCUUAAAUAAGUGGAGUAAGUCUCACUUUGUCUCAUGAGACAUAAAUGUGAUUUGAUAGGUGAUUCCACAUACAUUAUUGUACAUGUACUUUAACAAGAAAAUUAACAGUUAUUCUCCAAUGCAAGAAUGCAGGAACAGUAUAUAAAGGAAGGUAACAAAAAGCACAAAACUUGCAAGAGAAUGGCGAAUAGAAAAAUAUGGAUCAGAGAGGUUACAUGUGUGUACUGCUAAUAUCAUGAGAUAUAAGCAUAACAUAUAUUACUGCCACUAUAUCACAUAGAAGAUUUGCAAAUGUAAAUGUCAUCUUCAGUGAAAACUGCAUACAAAUUAAAAGACUGCAUGUAGAAUGUUAUAAGCUUUUAGCCCUUGCUUUCACAGAAUCAACUUUAAAAAAUAACUGUCAAACAUAUAUAAUUUAUAUCCAAUACUUUGCUCAUUAAUGCAAUGAAUUAUGCAAAAAGAAUCUGUUUAUGGGCAUUACAAUUUUCAGUGCACUUCUGGAAAACACCACAGUAUUCUGUGUGCACACAGAAUAUUUUAAUAUUAUCCGAUAAGGAGUUCUGUACAUCAGUUUCAGUUGGUUAAUGUCUGAUGAUUGUCCUGUAAUCUGAAAACUGGAUCAAAAAUAAACAAAUAUUGAAGAACAU
This is a long non-coding RNA of Schistocerca cancellata (South American locust), 5212 nucleotides long. RefSeq lists it as uncharacterized. The transcript is spliced from 2 exons. NCBI's taxonomy places the organism in Eukaryota, Metazoa, Arthropoda, Insecta, Orthoptera, Acrididae. The record is from RefSeq and is a predicted model, not a curated record.